Molecule: transfer RNA, 76 nt
Filed under: Candidatus Cloacimonadota bacterium
Lineage: Bacteria; Pseudomonadati; Candidatus Cloacimonadota
Also listed under: 2 other names
Description: tRNA-Ile
Rfam family: tRNA
About the family: Transfer RNA (tRNA) molecules are approximately 80 nucleotides in length.
Source: RNAcentral
GGGCCCAUAGCUCAUCUGGUAGAGCUCCCGGCUCAUAACCGGGCGGUGAGAGGUUCGAGUCCUCUUGGGCCCACCA